UACGGAGGGUGCAAGCGUUAAUCGGAAUUACUGGGCGUAAGGCGCACGCAGGUGGCUGAGUCAGUCGAUUGUGAAAGCCCUGGGCUUAACCUGGGAAUUGCAGUCGAUACUACUCAGCUAGAGUAUGGGAGAGGGCAGUGGAAUUCCCGGUGUAGCGGUGAAAUGCGUAGAUAUCGGGAGGAACAUCAGUGGCGAAGGCGGCUGCCUGGCCCAAUACUGACACUCAGGUGCGACAGCGUGGGGAGCAAACAGG
Molecule: ribosomal RNA, 253 nt
Filed under: uncultured bacterium
Lineage: Bacteria
Description: partial 16S ribosomal RNA
Rfam family: Bacterial small subunit ribosomal RNA
Source: RNAcentral